UACGAAGGGGGCUAGCGUUGUUCGGAAUCACUGGGCGUAAAGGGUGCGCAGGCGGAUCUUUAAGUCAGGGGUGAAAGGCCGGGGCUCAACCUCGGAACGGCCUUUGAUACUGGGGAUCUCGAGUCCGGAAGAGGUGGGUGGAACUGCGAGUGUAGAGGUGAAAUUCGUAGAUAUUCGCAAGAACACCGGUGGCGAAGGCGGCCCACUGGUCCGGAACUGACGCUCAUGCACGACAGCGUGGGGAGCAAACAGG
Molecule: ribosomal RNA, 253 nt
Filed under: uncultured bacterium
Lineage: Bacteria
Description: partial 16S ribosomal RNA
Rfam family: Bacterial small subunit ribosomal RNA
Source: RNAcentral